AAGAGAGGCAGCGGCUGCCGUGAAGGCUGGGAUCGGAUGGGAGAGGUCCUUCUUGGGCUCUAUUUGUUUGUUUGUGACUGGAGCUGCAAAGUUCAGAGCCAAACGUGUUGCUUUCCGGCGGCGGCGACCGCCCCGCUUCACCUGCUCCGCUGACGGGUGCCUACCCGGGGCGGCCCCGCGGCUCUGCGGGUCCUCUGCCCGGCAUCCUGCCUGCCGCUGGGGCCGACGGACGCCAGAGGAGCGGGGGCUGUGUCUCUCGCCUGCCCGCCUUCCCCUCCGCGCCUGCCGGAGGGCAACGGACAGGUAAAUACCCUGUUUGAACACAUUGUCAAAAGAAACUGCUAGAGACUUCAAAGGUAAGGACCUCCUAAAAAAUGCUUCAAAUGAUCAUUUGUUCUGGUUUAUCAGAAAAGAAAAUAGAGAAUGUUAAUUCUUUCUGACUAUCUGGCUGAUCAAGAAUUGCAGAUGGCAUUAAUCAGCAUAGACUUCCUGUUCAUAAAACUGUUUA
This 508-nucleotide long non-coding RNA is filed under the name Parus major (Great Tit). RNAcentral describes it as "lncRNA (ENSPMJG00000001788.1)". Lineage: Eukaryota; Metazoa; Chordata; Aves; Passeriformes; Paridae. The record is from RNAcentral.